AUACUACUCCCUCCGUUCCGAAUUACUUGUCGCAGAAAUAGUUGUAUCUAGACAUAUUUUUAGUUUUACAUACAUUCAUUUCUAUACAUUUCUACGGUAAAUAAUUCAGGACGGAGGAAGUAUUGA
Non-coding RNA from Triticum aestivum (bread wheat), 126 nucleotides. The record is from Rfam. NCBI's taxonomy places the organism in Eukaryota, Viridiplantae, Streptophyta, Magnoliopsida, Poales, Poaceae.